Molecule: long non-coding RNA, 348 nt
Filed under: Vicia faba (fava bean)
Lineage: Eukaryota; Viridiplantae; Streptophyta; Magnoliopsida; Fabales; Fabaceae
Source: RNAcentral
AUGAUGAGACAACUGAUAGAAUAUACAAGUGAUAAUAUAGAGGCAUUGGCAGAAACAAAGAAAGGAAGACUUAGGAGUAAGGCUUGGGAUCAUUUUAUAAAGGUGAAAGUUAAUGGAGAGGAUAAGGCUCAAUGUAAAUAUUGUAAGAAAUUUCUUGGUGGAAAAUCGAGCAAUGGAACGAAACACUUGCUUCAACAUAUGGAGACAUGCACUCAUCGCAAAAUUCAUGAGAACAAGACUACAAAAGGACAAACAUUUCUCAUGCUAAAUAACUUGCAAGGAAAGCAAGAAUUAGGAGUUGAGUUGCAUCUUGAGGUUCAUUUAUAUUCCUGCUCCUCACUCAAGUGA